GUUCUUUAAAUGGGGACUUGUAUCAACGGCAUCACGAGGGUUUUACUGUCUCCUUUUUCUAAUCAGCGAAACUAAUCUCCCCGUGAAGAAGCGGGGAUAUUUAUAUAAGACGAGAAGACCCCAUGGAGCUUCAAACCCAAUUACACCCCCCCCCCCCCC
RNAcentral lists this ribosomal RNA (159 nucleotides) under Mantidactylus majori (Ivohimanita Madagascar frog). RNAcentral's name for it is "partial 16S ribosomal RNA". Lineage: Eukaryota; Metazoa; Chordata; Amphibia; Anura; Mantellidae. The record is from RNAcentral.